GACGAACGCUGGCGGCGUGCUUAACACAUGGAAGUCGAACGGUAAGGCCCUUCGGGGUACACGAGUGGCGAACGGGUGAGUAACACGUGGGUGAUCUGCCCUGCACUUCGGGAUAAGCCUGGGAAACUGGGUCUAAUACCGGAUAGGACUCCUGGCUUCAUGGUUGGGGGUGGAAAGCUUUUGCGGUGUGGGAUGGGCCCGCGGCCUAUCAGCUUGUUGGUGGGGUAAUGGCCUACCAAGGCGACGACGGGUAGCCGGCCUGAGAGGGUGACCGGUCACACUGGGACUGAGAUACGGCCCAGACUCCUACGGGAGGCAGCAGUGGUGAAUAUUGCACAAUGGGCGCAAGCCUGAUGCAGCGACGCCGCGUGAGGGAUGACGGCCUUCGGGUUGUAAACCUCUUUCAGCUAUGACGAAGCGCAAGUGACGGUAGUAGCAGAAGAAGGACCGGCCAACUACGUGCCAGCCGCCGCGGUAA
RNAcentral lists this ribosomal RNA (478 nucleotides) under uncultured bacterium. RNAcentral describes it as "partial 16S ribosomal RNA". It matches the Rfam family "Bacterial small subunit ribosomal RNA", at positions 28 to 523 of the family's 1533-position model. The record is from RNAcentral.